RNAcentral lists this ribosomal RNA (744 nucleotides) under Rhodococcus (subgen. Prescottella) equi. Its description in RNAcentral is "Prescottella equi bacterial SSU rRNA". It matches the Rfam family "Bacterial small subunit ribosomal RNA", at positions 39 to 799 of the family's 1533-position model. The record is from RNAcentral. Lineage: Bacteria; Bacillati; Actinomycetota; Actinomycetes; Mycobacteriales; Nocardiaceae.
ACGGGGCGGCAUCUACCAUGCAGUCGACGGUAAGGCCCCUUCGGGGGUACACGAGUGGCGAACGGGUGAGUAACACGUGGGUGAUCUGCCCUGCACUCUGGGAUAAGCCUGGGAAACUGGGUCUAAUACCGGAUAUGAGCUCCUGUCGCAUGGCGGGGGUUGGAAAGGUUUACUGGUGCAGGAUGGGCCCGCGGCCUAUCAGCUUGUUGGUGGGGUAAUGGCCUACCAAGGCGACGACGGGUAGCCGGCCUGAGAGGGCGACCGGCCACACUGGGACUGAGACACGGCCCAGACUCCUACGGGAGGCAGCAGUGGGGAAUAUUGCACAAUGGGCGAAAGCCUGAUGCAGCGACGCCGCGUGAGGGAUGACGGCCUUCGGGUUGUAAACCUCUUUCAGCAGGGACGAAGCGAGAGUGACGGUACCUGCAGAAGAAGCACCGGCCAACUACGUGCCAGCAGCCGCGGUAAUACGUAGGGUGCGAGCGUUGUCCGGAAUUACUGGGCGUAAAGAGCUCGUAGGCGGUUUGUCGCGUCGUCCGUGAAAACUUGGGGCUCAACCCCAAGCUUGCGGGCGAUACGGGCAGACUUGAGUACUGCAGGGGAGACUGGAAUUCCUGGUGUAGCGGUGAAAUGCGCAGAUAUCAGGAGGAACACCGGUGGCGAAAGCGGGUCUCUGGGCAGUAACUGACGUUGAGGAGCAAAAGCGGGGGUAGGUAACAUGAUUAAAUACCCUGGUAGUCCACG